GCACACCUAGGUUCCUCAUGAACCUAGGAGAAGGUCGCUUACACCAUGGUAGCUCCACAUGCUAGCUCAGGGUGAGGGGGAUGGUGGAGACCUAACACCAGAUCACUUCCCCCUAAAGAGCUAAAUAAACUUACCAGCCAUGACACCAGAGCCAUUGACAUGUCCCAAC
Hibiscus syriacus is the source of this 169-nucleotide long non-coding RNA. RefSeq lists it as uncharacterized. Lineage: Eukaryota; Viridiplantae; Streptophyta; Magnoliopsida; Malvales; Malvaceae. The record is from RefSeq and is a predicted model, not a curated record. The transcript has 3 exons.